Molecule: long non-coding RNA, 1378 nt
Organism: Polypterus senegalus (gray bichir)
Lineage: Eukaryota; Metazoa; Chordata; Cladistia; Polypteriformes; Polypteridae
Exons: 3
Source: RefSeq, a predicted model, not a curated record
GAAAGGGAGACAUCUUGUGGCACAAGGUAGCGCCAAGAAAUGGAUCUGCUGGAACAAGUUCUUUUUCUUUUUGGGAGACUCAGCGACACAAGGGAGACGCGUCUCUGAAGACGGACUCUUUUUUCUUUGAUUUCGCUGACGAAUAUCUUGGACCGAUAUUAAAAGUCUCUACUAUGAAACACCAGGGAUGACAUGUCUGAUUGCAUUUUGAAUCCAGUCAUUCCUCUAUUGAAGGCAACCUAAAGAAAUGUGUCUGGCUGUUAAAUUACACCAGCAGGAGGAGACCAUUUAGAAUUAUGUGGCUUUGGGGUGUCGUCACAUGCUGCCUUGUUUAACAGUUGGCAUAUUCAGCAGGAUUUGCUCCAAAGAUGAGCCAGGAGCAGGACCUCAACACAAUUCUGGUUAAUAUAGCCUCAAAGCUCCUGACCCUGAAACUCCAGGUGUGGGAGAAUAAUGAAUGCAGCACACAGAAUCCGAGUCGCGAGUACAAGCAUGUGUCACUGUCCAAUAAGGUAUGGGCUCUGUCCCUCCAGAGUAAUGACAAUAUUGAAUCUUAUUUGUUAAUAUUUGAACAUACAGCCAACAGGAAUCACUGGAAGUGUGCGGAAUGGGCUAACAUAAUAGCGCCGUUCCUAAAGAGGGAUGCACAGAAGACUUACUAUGACCUCUUGGAGGAGACAGUCACCAUUUAUGAUGCUCUGAAGAAUGAGAUCCUCAGCAGGUAUGGUGUUUUCCUGGACCAGCAGGCAAGGAUUUGUCGUGAAUGGCGAUUUGACCCAGAGAAGCCAACACGCUCACAGGACUUUAAUUUGUGAAUCAAGGCAGAACACUAGCUACGUACGGCCAGUCGUAAAUGACUUGUGACAAGUCCUUGAGCAAAUUUCUUUUGAUCUCCUAAUAAAUGUCCUUCCCGAAUUAACUUGCCCAGCCGGUCUUGCAGCAGUCUGUUAUAAAAUAUAGAGGGUUCCAUCUUUACCACAGAACAUCACUGGGCAGCUAUCUGAGAGAGCAGAAUGGUCUAAACGCCACCUCAACUCAGUGAGCCCAUAGAAUGUAGCUGGAUGAAGGGAAAAGGGCUUUAUGCACUUGGUAACCCUCUUUCUCUUCCCUGCACAGGAGUGGUACUAGUUAAUGUGCAUAAGGUGACAGCUUUAAUAGAUUCCGCCAUUAACAUUUACAUUUUUGCUUGCUGUUUUGUGUUACAGCAACAGUGGUUGGAUUGUAAGACCAGUCUGACCUGUAUCUACCAUGAAAUCUGAUGGUACAGGUCAGUGGCGGUUCUACAUUAAAUUGCUCCCCGGGCGAGACUCCCUCCCGGCGCCGAAAAAAAAAUAACAUGACAAAACUACACAUUUUGUACACACCACACGUUUUAUUG